This is a long non-coding RNA of Corticium candelabrum, 414 nucleotides long. RefSeq lists it as uncharacterized. The transcript is spliced from 3 exons. Lineage: Eukaryota; Metazoa; Porifera; Homoscleromorpha; Homosclerophorida; Plakinidae. The record is from RefSeq and is a predicted model, not a curated record.
AUGCGCAUAGAUAAGCAGGGCAAAUCGCUGUACUAAUCACAGCGAUUUACUCUGUUUCAGCGAUUUGCCCUGGACUACGCGGCAAGCUACGCAGGCGCAGGCAUCGCAGGGUAGAUCGCUGCAGUGUAAUCGCAGCGAUUUGCUCUGUUUUAGCGAUUUGCCCUGAUGACUGAUUUGUUGUACACAGUUUUUGCUCGUCUCGGAAAGGGUGGAGUAUACGAGUAUCAUCUCUACCUCUAGACGUCCAAACUCCUCAUAUUGCAAACUAAGCUGCAGCAACAACAACAACAACAACAAACAACAACAACAAAAACAAAGCACAACUUCAAGGCUGCAGCAGGGAACUGUUCUAGAUAGAUAGAUGUGUUGAAUAUUUCUAAUGUUUGUUUUAAAUCAAUUAUAAAUUGAAUUCUA